This 1279-nucleotide long non-coding RNA is filed under the name Coturnix japonica (Japanese quail). RNAcentral describes it as "lncRNA (ENSCJPG00005000631.1)". The record is from RNAcentral. Lineage: Eukaryota; Metazoa; Chordata; Aves; Galliformes; Phasianidae.
AUUAUAUGGGUUAUAUGGGGUUAUAUGGGGAUUUAUUGGAAUAUUAUGGGAUUAUAUUGGGGAUAUAUUAUGGAUUAUAUUGGGCGUUAUACUGGGAUUAUAUGGGGAUUAUAUGGGGUUAUAUGGGAUUAUAUGGGAUUAUAUGAGAUUAUAUAGGGAUUAUAUGGACGUACAGAAUCAUAAUGGAAGAGCUGCCAUAACCAGAAACAUAGUGGAACCAUCUACACCCUGUGAGUUAUGGGAUAGAUGGCGAUUUAGAUGGAUAUAUGGGAUAUAUGGGAUUAUAUGGGAUUAUAUGGGAUUAUAUGGGAUAUAUGGGAUUAUAUGGGGUUAUAUGGGGUUAUAUGGGAUUAUAUGGGACGUACAGAUCAUAAUGGAGAGCUGCCAUAACCAGAACAUAGUGGGAACCAUCCUACACCCUAUCAUAAUGGAGAGCUGCCAUAACCAGAACAUAGUGGGAACCAUCCUACACCCUGGAGUUAUGGGAUAGAUGGGAUUAGAUGGGAUUAUAUGGAUUAUAUGGGUAUAUGCGGAUUAUAUUGGGGAUUAUAUGGGAUUAUAUUGGGAUUAUAUGGGACGUUACAGAUUCAUAAUGGGAGAGCUGCCAUAACCAGAACCUUAGUGGAACCAUCUACACCUGUGGGUUAUGUGGACCCAUAUGGAUUAUAUGGCCUAUAUGAGGUUAUAUGGGAUUAUAUGGGAUUAUAUGGGAUUAUAUGGGAUUAUAUGGGAUAUGGGACGUACAGAUCAUAAUGGAGAGCUGCCAUAACCAGAACAUAGUGGGAACCAUCCUCACCCUGUCGACGUUAUAAUGGGAUAUAUGGGAUUAGAUGGAUUAUAUGGAUUAUAUGCGGAUUAUAUGGGGUUAUAUGGAUUAUAUUUGCGGAUUAUAUGGGAUUAUUAUGGGACGUUUACAGAUCAUAAUGAGAGCUGCCAUAAACCAGAACAUUAGUGGGAAACCAUCCUACACCCUGUGAGUUAUAUGGGAUUAUAUGGGAUUAGAUGGGAUUAUAUGGGAUUAUAUGGGAUUAUAUGGGGUUAUAUGGGAUUAUAUGGGAUUAUAUGGGACGUACAGAUCAUAAUGGAGAGCUGCCAUAACCAGAAACAUAGUGGGAACCAUUCCUUACACCCUGGAGUUAUGGGAUAUAUGGGAUUAUAUGGGUGUUAUAUGGAUUAUAUGGGAUUAUAUGGGGUUAUAUGGAAUUAAUAUUGGGAUUAUAUGGCGGUUAUAUGGAUUAUAUGGGAAUUAUAUGGGACGUUACAGAUCAUAAAUGGAGAG